UACGGAGGGUGCAAGCGUUAUCCGGAUUCACUGGGUUUAAAGGGUGCGUAGGUGGGCAAGUAAGUCUGUGGUGAAAUCUCCGGGCUUAACCCGGAAACUGCCAUUGAUACUAUUUGUCUUGAAUACUGUGGAGGUCAGCGGAAUAUGUCAUGUAGCGGUGAAAUGCUUAGAUAUGACAUAGAACACCAAUUGCGAAGGCAGCUGGCUACACAAAUAUUGACACUGAGGCACGAAAGCGUGGGGAUCAAACAGG
Molecule: ribosomal RNA, 253 nt
Filed under: uncultured bacterium
Lineage: Bacteria
Description: partial 16S ribosomal RNA
Rfam family: Bacterial small subunit ribosomal RNA
Source: RNAcentral